UACGUAGGGUCCGAGCGUUGUCCGGAAUUACUGGGCGUAAAGAGCUCGUAGGUGGUUUGUCGCGUUGUUCGUGAAAACUCACAGCUCAACUGUGGGCGUGCGGGCGAUACGGGCAGACUGGAGUACUGCAGGGGAGACUGGAAUUCCUGGUGUAGCGGUGGAAUGCGCAGAUAUCAGGAGGAACACCGGUGGCGAAGGCGGGACUCUGGGCCGAUACUGACGCUGAGGAGCGAAAGCGUGGGGAGCAAACAGG
RNAcentral lists this ribosomal RNA (253 nucleotides) under uncultured bacterium. RNAcentral's name for it is "partial 16S ribosomal RNA". It matches the Rfam family "Bacterial small subunit ribosomal RNA", at positions 524 to 776 of the family's 1533-position model. The record is from RNAcentral.